GCUUUAAACAAGGGAACACCAUGAUCUGAUUUUGCAUUAAGAAGGUCACAGUGGCUGCUGUGUGGAAUUGGACAGCCCAGUGCAGAAGUAGCGAGGCCCAUGUGUAGGGUUUUACCUUCAGGCAGGAGAAAAGGACAGCUGCUUAUGCCAGGGAGUGGCAAUGGGGAUGGAGAGGAGUCCAAGCAUUCAGGCCAUGUGUUGGAAGUUGAGAGGACCAGACUGGGCAGUGGGUGGACUGUGGGAGCUGAAGCGGAGGCGGAAUCAAGGUUUCUGGUCUGAGCCACUGUGUGGUGGUGCCACACUCCAAGGUGUGAAUUACUGCAUCAUCACUUGCACCUCAAGAUGCCCAUGACGGUGGUCAGGUCAAUUUUCCACUUGCAAUGACUGUGCCCUGGAUUGCAAGGAACAGCAAGAAAGCUAUGUUUGGGAGACUUCAGGACCAACAGACCUAGUCUUUGGUGGUGAAUUCAUCCUGGCACAGCAGGGGAAAAAACAGGGGAGCCCAGUUGAGGAACUACAGUGGGCUGCAGCUGCCCUCUUUGCUCCCAUUCCUUCUUUUCUAGUUCUUGUUUUCCCCUGCCCACCACUCCCCUAUCAUCUCUUUCCUGUUCCUCUCCUGCACUCUCCGUGUAUCUGUAUCAAACACAAGUUUUGCAAAGGCACACCUAUGUAUGGCUUCCUCUGCCUAUUCCAUAGAAUCUCUCAUAUCUUCCUCUCAUUUCUGCUAGGUGACUCAGAGCUUGAAAGUGUGUUGUCACAAUGUAGGUAACCAAAAGUGUUCAUGAAAUUAAAAAGGCUAGAAAAUAAGGCCAUAUGUGAUUUCUUCUGCUACAAAAUGGAAACUUGUGGGUACUGAGCCAUGUAUUGGUCCUUGAAAAAUGGUAAUUUCUUGGGUGCUCUUUAACAGGGCAACUUGAGAAGAACUAGAUAUGAGGAUGAAGAGAACUGGGGGCCAGAAGGAAAACUGAGGCCUGGAGCAAAGAGACUUUAUGGACAACUUACAAGCAGCAUUCCUGAGUUUGGGGAGAGUGAAAAGGGGCCAUGUGAACAUGAUAUCCUCCAUGAUGACUAAGGGGCCUGGUUCCCAAACACUGCCGGCCAAAUGGCUCUUCAAAUGUGCAGCCCUUUCAAUGCUGUUUCAAAGUCUAGCAUUUCUAACCUUCUGUCCAGUUCCCAUGGUUUCAUAAGUUAUCCAUACUGCUUAUGGGGAGGGAAUGGUCUGAGGAAUCAAUGUUAAAAUGGAAUCAGUAUUCUUUUGACAUUCUUGUCAGUCUUUCUCUGUAUGUAACGUUUCUAACUUGCACAACUCUUUAGCCUUGAGAGCCUCUCCAACGGUACAAUCAGCCAUGAACAGGACCUCUAUUGUUUCAAGCAGUCUGGAGGCUCAACCACACAGGAGCAAUGCAGGGUCUCAAUUGAGUAUCCAUUGGUUUCCUAAACUAGAAUAGAAGCUUUGUGAGGGGAGGAGCUUAUCUUCUAUCUUCCCCUGUAGACUCAAGUAUUGUACCAGUGUCUGGCACACAGAUUAAAUGUAGUAAAUAUGUGCUUAAUAAACAAAUAAAAGGCCUGGCAAAGCCCUAAAACUUUGCUAAUGGCCCCAGUAGGGUAGAACUACUGUAUAGGCAAAUUCAUGUAUUAGCCUUUUGUUAAUAUUUGAAUUUGGGAACAAUCAUUUAGAGAAAUCAUGCAGUCAAAACAUGAAAGAUCUAUGAAAAUCAAACAUACAGUACUUGGGAAACCCAAAGGCCACUAAUGACCUGGAAGCAAGGCCCAACUUCUUAACUAAAACAGAUAAUUCACCCUGGUGUGUGCUCCUGGUUCCCUGCUAAUGCUGGGGCUUGGGUCAGUUUCCACGUGUAGCUAAAAGGGCUUAGUCAGUUGAGAACAGUUCACCCACAGGGAGCAGUAGAGGGGGAUAAAACCCAGGAGCAGGGCAACUAAGUCUCAACUAAGUCUGGCACUAAUAUCAAAGUGGGAUUUAGGGCUAGCAAGCCUGAUUCUCAGAGUGACACCUAUACACAGUAAAUGGAAUGAUGGGGAAGGGGAGGGACAUAAAAAGCUCAGAUAUAUCCUGACAUCCACCAAAAUAAAAGAAAUCUCUCUAUUAACCCUUGGAUUUGAAAGACUGAGCUACUGUAUUAAAAUAAAGUCAUUCUCAGAAGGUGAACCAUUUAGUUUUUCUUAGGGAAGGAACAUGACAAUGUCUUCAGCUUGGUCCACUUAGUGGGGGCUUCUGGGAGAAGCAACCCAGGCUGGCUAAGUAUAGACUGAUGGGGUGCUGCCUGGGGAAGGGGAAUUGAAAUGGUUACUGAUUACCUGGUGGCCUUGAGCUUUUAGCAGACAUGCAAAUGUGCCCAAAUAUUCCAGACUGUCAAGAAACCGAGCUGCCUGUGAGUGGGCAGCUCUAAGAGUAGUAGAGUUUAUGGCCCCUGAACACAGUUGGGAGAUAACCCAGAAAGCAUCUUCGACAUCAUCAAGUGAUUUCUCUCUAACAAUAGGCUCUCACAAUGAUGGGUUUGGCCUAUGUAGCUGAUACUGAUCCCUCAGACAAAUAGUGAUAAAGAGAACUGAGAGGACUCCCCUUAUACAUAUGCAAAGGGAGGGACUCUCUGAGAAACUCUCUAGCA
Molecule: long non-coding RNA, 2627 nt
Organism: Heterocephalus glaber (naked mole-rat)
Lineage: Eukaryota; Metazoa; Chordata; Mammalia; Rodentia; Bathyergidae
Source: RefSeq, a predicted model, not a curated record